GAUGAACGCUGGCGGCGUGCUUAACACAUGCAAGUCGAGCGAAGCACUAAAGCGGAUUUCUUCGGAUUGAAGGUUUAGUGACUGAGCGGCGGACGGGUGAGUAACGCGUGGGUAACCUGCCUCAUACAGGGGGAUAACAGUUGGAAACGGCUGCUAAUACCGCAUAAGCGCACAGUACCGCAUGGUACGGUGUGAAAAACUCCGGUGGUAUGAGAUGGACCCGCGUCUGAUUAGGUAGUUGGUGGGGUAACGGCCUACCAAGCCGACGAUCAGUAGCCGACCUGAGAGGGUGACCGGCCACAUUGGGACUGAGACACGGCCCAAACUCCUACGGGAGGCAGCAGUGGGGAAUAUUGCACAAUGGGGGAAACCCUGAUGCAGCGACGCCGCGUGAGCGAAGAAGUAUUUCGGUAUGUAAAGCUCUAUCAGCAGGGAAGAAAAUGACGGUACCKAC
This 454-nucleotide ribosomal RNA is filed under the name uncultured bacterium. Its description in RNAcentral is "bacterial SSU rRNA". It matches the Rfam family "Bacterial small subunit ribosomal RNA", at positions 28 to 482 of the family's 1533-position model. The record is from RNAcentral.